This 559-nucleotide ribosomal RNA is filed under the name uncultured bacterium. RNAcentral's name for it is "bacterial SSU rRNA". It matches the Rfam family "Bacterial small subunit ribosomal RNA", at positions 119 to 674 of the family's 1533-position model. The record is from RNAcentral.
CGGAACGUGCCCAAUCGUGGGGGAUAACGCAGCGAAAGCUGUGCUAAUACCGCAUACGAUCUACGGAUGAAAGCAGGGGACCGCAAGGCCUUGCGCGAAUGGAGCGGCCGAUGGCAGAUUAGGUAGUUGGUGAGGUAAAGGCUCACCAAGCCUUCGAUCUGUAGCUGGUCUGAGAGGACGACCAGCCACACUGGGACUGAGACACGGCCCAGACUCCUACGGGAGGCAGCAGUGGGGAAUUUUGGACAAUGGGCGAAAGCCUGAUCCAGCAAUGCCGCGUGCAGGAUGAAGGCCUUCGGGUUGUAAACUGCUUUUGUACGGAACGAAACGGUUCUUUCUAAUAAAGAGAGCUAAUGACGGUACCGUAAGAAUAAGCACCGGCUAACUACGUGCCAGCAGCCGCGGUAAUACGUAGGGUGCAAGCGUUAAUCGGAAUUACUGGGCGUAAAGCGUGCGCAGGCGGUUAUGUAAGACAGUUGUGAAAUCCCCGGGCUCAACCUGGGAAUUGCAUCUGUGACUGCAUAGCUAGAGUACGGUAGAGGGGGAUGGAAUUCCGCGU